RNAcentral lists this ribosomal RNA (478 nucleotides) under uncultured bacterium. RNAcentral's name for it is "partial 16S ribosomal RNA". It matches the Rfam family "Bacterial small subunit ribosomal RNA", at positions 28 to 523 of the family's 1533-position model. The record is from RNAcentral.
GACGAACGCUGGCGGCGUGCUUAACACAUGCAAGUCGAACGGUAAGGCCCUUCGGGGUACACGAGUGGCGAACGGGUGAGUAACACGUGGGUGAUCUGCCCUGCACUUCGGGAUAAGCCUGGGAAACUGGGUCUAAUACCGGAUAGGACCACUGCCUGCAUGGGUGGUGGUGGAAAGCUUUUGCGGUGUGGGAUGGGCCCGCGGCCUAUCAGCUUGUUGGUGGGGUGAUGGCCUACCAAGGCGACGACGGGUAGCCGGCCUGAGAGGGUGACCGGCCACACUGGGACUGAGAGACGGCCCAGACUCCUACGGGAGGCAGCAGGGGGGAAUAUUGCACAAUGGGCGCAAGCCUGAUGCAGCGACGCCGCGUGAGGGAUGACGGCCUUCGGGUUGUAAACCUCUUUCAGCACCGACGAAGCGCAAGUGACGGUAGGUGCAGAAGAAGGACCGGCCAACUACGUGCCAGCCGCCGCAGUAA